This 794-nucleotide ribosomal RNA is filed under the name uncultured bacterium. Its description in RNAcentral is "bacterial SSU rRNA". It matches the Rfam family "Bacterial small subunit ribosomal RNA", at positions 8 to 796 of the family's 1533-position model. The record is from RNAcentral.
AGAGUUUGAUCAUGGCUCAGGAUGAACGCUAGCGGCAGGCUUAAUACAUGCAAGUCGUGGGGCAGCGNNNNGUAGCAAUACAUGGGCGGCGACCGGCAAACGGGUGCGGAACACGUACGCAACCUUCCUUUAAGUGGGGGAUAGCCCAGGGAAACUUGGAUUAAUACCCCGUAAUAUUACGGAGUGGCAUCACUUUUUAAUUAUAGCAGCAAUGCGCUUGAAGAUGGGCGUGCGCCUGAUUAGGUAGUUGGCGGGGUAACGGCCCACCAAGCCUUCGAUCAGUAACUGGUGUGAGAGCACGACCAGUCACACGGGCACUGAGACACGGGCCCGACUCCUACGGGAGGCAGCAGUAAGGAAUAUUGGUCAAUGGACGAAAGUCUGAACCAGCCAUGCCGCGUGGAGGAUGAAGGUCCUCUGGAUUGUAAACUUCUUUUAUUUGGGAAGAAACCCACGAUUUCUAUUGUGGUUGACGGUACCAGAUGAAUAAGCACCGGCUAACUCCGUGCCAGCAGCCGCGGUAAUACGGAGGGUGCAAGCGUUAUCCGGAUUCACUGGGUUUAAAGGGUGCGUAGGCGGGCAGGUAAGUCAGUGGUGAAAUCCCCGAGCUUAACUUGGGAACUGCCGUUGAUACUAUCUGUCUUGAAUACUAUGGAGGUAAGCGGAAUAUGUCAUGUAGCGGUGAAAUGCUUAGAUAUGACAUAGAACACCAAUUGCGAAGGCAGCUUGCUACACAGUUAUUGACGCUGAGGCACGAAAGCGUGGGCAAACAGGAUUAGAUACCCNNGUAGUCC